GGGGAUGAAAGGCUUCGACGGGCGAGGCUGAUCCCGGAAUGCGUGCCGAGAGGUACCGACCUCGUUAACUCAGUACAAACCUUUAAGUGCCAAUCGCACAAACACCUACGCAGCUCUUCCUCUCGCCGCCUAGCGUCGAAGGAUCCUGCGCCUGACACCUCGGUGUCACGUCUGUCUGCUCCGCUCUCUUACCGGUAGCAGAACAGGCGUCACAAAGUAAGAGUGCCGCAAUUCAAGCCGCGAGGAUUGCGAAAGAGGGCUUUCGGGCCUGAGCGGAUGGUCAACAUCGGGUUCUGUGACUCUUCCUGACGCUGACGACACUCAAGAGGCUCUACGCAUGUAGAUUUCCGAGGGUUGAAUCGUUCGGACGCGGGUUCAAUUCCCGCCAUCUCCACCU
RNAcentral lists this transfer-messenger RNA (397 nucleotides) under Anaerolineaceae. Its description in RNAcentral is "UBA6107 sp012797695 Standard tmRNA". It matches the Rfam family "transfer-messenger RNA". Rfam says of the family: Bacterial tmRNA, also known as 10Sa RNA or SsrA, is named for its dual tRNA and mRNA-like properties. Its role is to liberate the mRNA from a stalled ribosome. To accomplish this part of the tmRNA is used as a reading frame that ends in a translation stop signal. The record is from RNAcentral. RNAcentral also lists the same sequence under 1 other name. Lineage: Bacteria; Bacillati; Chloroflexota; Anaerolineae; Anaerolineales.